Molecule: ribosomal RNA, 430 nt
Filed under: Pseudomonadota bacterium
Lineage: Bacteria; Pseudomonadati; Pseudomonadota
Description: Proteobacteria bacterium partial 16S ribosomal RNA
Rfam family: Bacterial small subunit ribosomal RNA
Source: RNAcentral
UGGGGAAUAUUGGACAAUGGGCGAAAGCCUGAUCCAGCCAUGCCGCGUGUGUGAAGAAGGCCUUAUGGUUGUAAAGCACUUUAAGCGAGGAGGAGGGUACUGGUAUUAAUACUACCAGGUACUGGACGUUACUCGCAGAAUAAGCACCGGCUAACUCUGUGCCAGCAGCCGCGGUAAUACAGAGGGUGCGAGCGUUAAUCGGAUUUACUGGGCGUAAAGCGUGCGUAGGCGGCUAAUUGAGUCGGAUGUGAAAUCCCCGAGCUUAACAUGGGAAUUGCAUUCGAUACUGGUUAGCUAGAGUGUGGGAGAGGAUGGUAGAAUUCCAGGUGUAGCGGUGAAAUGCGUAGAGAUCUGGAGGAAUACCGAUGGCGAAGGCAGCCAUCUGGCCUAACACUGACGCUGAGGUACGAAAGCAUGAGGAGCAAACAGG